RNAcentral lists this ribosomal RNA (432 nucleotides) under Capnocytophaga granulosa. Its description in RNAcentral is "bacterial SSU rRNA". It matches the Rfam family "Bacterial small subunit ribosomal RNA", at positions 28 to 464 of the family's 1533-position model. Lineage: Bacteria; Pseudomonadati; Bacteroidota; Flavobacteriia; Flavobacteriales; Flavobacteriaceae. The record is from RNAcentral.
GAUGAACGCUAGCGGCAGGCCUAACACAUGCAAGUCGAGGGAGAAGCCCUUCGGGGCAGAAACCGGCGCACGGGUGCGUAACGCGUAUGCAACCUACCUUUCACAGGGGGAUAGCCCGAAGAAAUUUGGAUUAAUACCCCAUAAUAUUAUUGGAUGGCAUCAUUUGAUAAUUAAAAUUACGAUGGUGAAAGAUGGGCAUGCGUCCUAUUAGCUAGUUGGAGUGGUAACGGCACCCCAAGGCUACGAUAGGUAGGGGUCCUGAGAGGGAGAUCCCCCACACUGGUACUGAGACAGGGACCAGACUCCUACGGGAGGCAGCAGUGAGGAAUAUUGGUCAAUGGUCGGAAGACUGAACCAGCCAUGCCGCGUGCAGGAAGAAUGCCUUAUGGGUUGUAAACUGCUUUUAUAUGGGAAGAAUAAAGGAAGUACGCG